This 882-nucleotide ribosomal RNA is filed under the name uncultured bacterium. Its description in RNAcentral is "bacterial SSU rRNA". It matches the Rfam family "Bacterial small subunit ribosomal RNA", at positions 1 to 924 of the family's 1533-position model. The record is from RNAcentral.
GCCCUUACAGUUUGAUCCUGGCUCAUGAUGAACGCUGGCGGUAUGCUUUACACAUGCAAGUCGUACGAGAGUUUUUAACUCGAGUGGCGGACGGGUGAGUAACACGUAAGAAUUUGCCUUUAGGAGGGGGAUAACAACUGGAAACGGUUGCUAAUACCCCAUAUGCUUUCGAGUAAAAUGGAUUUUCCGCCUAAAGAGAAGCUUGCGGCUGAUUAGCUUGUUGGUGAGGUAAUGGCUCACCAAGGCGACGAUCAGUAUCUGGUUUGAGAGGACGAUCAGACACACUGGAACUGAGACACGGUCCAGACUCCUACGGGAGGCAGCAGUGGGGAAUUUUCCGCAAUGGGCGAAAGCCUGACGGAGCAAUACCGCGUGAGGGAUGACGGCCUAUGGGUUGUAAACCUCUUUUUUCAGGGAGGAAUCAAUGACGUGUACCUGAAUAAUAAGCAUCGGCUAACUCCGUGCCAGCAGCCGCGGUAAGACGGAGGAUGCAAGUGUUAUCCGGAAUCACUGGGCGUAAAGCGUCUGUAGGUGGUCAAAUAAGUCAACUGUUAAAUCUUGAUGCUCAACCUCCAAAUCUGAUUCGAAACUAUUCGACUAGAGUAUAGUAGGGGUAAAGGGAAUUUCCAGUGGAGCGGUGAAAUGCGUAGAGAUUGGAAAGAACACCGAUGGCGUAGGCACUUUACUGGGCUAUUACUAACACUGAGAGACGAAAGCUAGGGUAGUAAAUGGGAUUAGAUACCCCAGUAGUCCUAGCCGUAAACAAUGGAUACUAUAUGUUGAACAGAUCGACCUGUGCAGUAUCAAAGCUAACGCGUUAAGUAUCCCGCCUGGGAAGUAUGCUCGCAAGAGUGAAACUCAAAUGAAUCGACGGGGAAGGGC